GGCUGGUUAGCUCAGUUGGUUAGAACAUGGUGCUGAUAACACUAAGGUCGCAGGUUCGAUCCUUGCUCGUUCCC
Molecule: transfer RNA, 74 nt
Filed under: Apaloderma vittatum (bar-tailed trogon)
Lineage: Eukaryota; Metazoa; Chordata; Aves; Trogoniformes; Trogonidae
Rfam family: tRNA
About the family: Transfer RNA (tRNA) molecules are approximately 80 nucleotides in length.
Source: Rfam by way of RNAcentral